This 166-nucleotide ribosomal RNA is filed under the name uncultured bacterium. RNAcentral's name for it is "partial 16S ribosomal RNA". It matches the Rfam family "Bacterial small subunit ribosomal RNA", at positions 1327 to 1500 of the family's 1533-position model. The record is from RNAcentral.
UGGAUUCGCUAGUAAUCGCGCAUCAGCCAUGGCGCGGUGAAUACGUUCCCGGGCCUUGUACACACCGCCCGUCAAGCCAUGGAAGCCGGGAGUGCCUGAAGUAUGCAACCGCAAGGAGCGUCCUAAGGUAAAACCGGUGACUGGGGCUAAGUCGUAACAAGGUACC